GACGAACGCUGGCGGCGUGCUUAACACAUGCAAGUCGAACGGAAAGGCCCUGCUUUUGUGGGGUGCUCGAGUGGCGAACGGGUGAGUAACACGUGAGUAACCUGCCCUUGACUUUGGGAUAACUUCAGGAAACUGGGGCUAAUACCGGAUAGGAGCUCCUGCUGCAUGGUGGGGGUUGGAAAGUUUCGGCGGUUGGGGAUGGACUCGCGGCUUAUCAGCUUGUUGGUGGGGUAGUGGCUUACCAAGGCUUUGACGGGUAGCCGGCCUGAGAGGGUGACCGGCCACAUUGGGACUGAGAUACGGCCCAGACACCUACGGGAGGCAGGAGUGGGGAAUAUUGCACAAUGGGCGGAAGCCUGAUGGAGCAACGCCGCGUGCGGGAUGACGGCCUUCGGGUUGUAAACCGCUUUCGCCUGUGACGAAGCGUGAGUGACGGUAAUGGGUAAAGAAGCACCGGCUAACUACGG
RNAcentral lists this ribosomal RNA (467 nucleotides) under uncultured bacterium. RNAcentral's name for it is "partial 16S ribosomal RNA". It matches the Rfam family "Bacterial small subunit ribosomal RNA", at positions 28 to 506 of the family's 1533-position model. The record is from RNAcentral.